This 454-nucleotide ribosomal RNA is filed under the name uncultured bacterium. RNAcentral's name for it is "bacterial SSU rRNA". It matches the Rfam family "Bacterial small subunit ribosomal RNA", at positions 29 to 526 of the family's 1533-position model. The record is from RNAcentral.
AGCGAACGCUGGCGGCAGGCUUAACACAUGCAAGUCGAACGGGCGUAGCAAUACGUCAGUGGCAGACGGGUGAGUAACGCGUGGGAACAUACCUCUUGGUUCGGAACAACACAGGGAAACUUGUGCUAAUACCGGAUAAGCCCUUACGGGGAAAGAUUUAUCGCCGAGAGAUUGGCCCGCGUCUGAUUAGCUAGUUGGUAGGGUAAUGGCCUACCAAGGCGACGAUCAGUAGCUGGUCUGAGAGGAUGAUCAGCCACAUUGGGACUGAGACACGGCCCAAACUCCUACGGGAGGCAGCAGUGGGGAAUAUUGGACAAUGGGCGCAAGCCUGAUCCAGCCAUGCCGCGUGAGUGAUGAAGGCCCUAGGGUUGUAAAGCUCUUUUGUACGGGAAGAUAAUGACGGUACCGUAAGAAUAAGCCCCGGCUAACUUCGUGCCAGCAGCCGCAGUAACAC